RNAcentral lists this ribosomal RNA (169 nucleotides) under uncultured bacterium. Its description in RNAcentral is "partial 16S ribosomal RNA". It matches the Rfam family "Bacterial small subunit ribosomal RNA", at positions 338 to 524 of the family's 1533-position model. The record is from RNAcentral.
CCUACGGGAGGCAGCAGUGAGGAAUUUUUCGCAAUGGGCGCAAGCCUGACGAAGCUAUGCCGCGUGAAGGAUGAAGGCCUGCGGGUUGUAAACUUCUUUUAUUAGAGAAGAUAAUGACGGUAUCUAAUGAAUAAGCAUCGGCUAACUAUGUGCCAGCAGCCGCGGUAAU